This 524-nucleotide ribosomal RNA is filed under the name uncultured bacterium. Its description in RNAcentral is "partial 16S ribosomal RNA". It matches the Rfam family "Bacterial small subunit ribosomal RNA", at positions 28 to 523 of the family's 1533-position model. The record is from RNAcentral.
GACGAACGCCGGCGGCGUGCUUAACACAUGCAAGUCGAACGGACAGACAGAGAGCUUGCUCUCUUGAAGUUAGUGGCGAACGGGUGAGUAACGCGUAAUCAACCUGCCCUUCAGAGGGGGAUAACAACGGGAAACCGUUGCUAAUACCGCGUACGAUUCAUGAACGGCAUCGUUUAUGAAUGAAAGGUGGCCUCUAUGUAUAAGCUAUCGCUGAAGGAGGGGAUUGGGACUGAUUAGCUAGUUGGAGGGGUAACGGCCCACCAAGGCAAUGAUGAGUAGCGGGUCUGAGAGGAUGAAGGGCCACAUUGGGACUGGGACACGGCCCGAACUCCGACGGGAGGCAGCAGUGGGGAAGCUUCCGCAAUGGACGAAAGUCUGACGGAGCAAGGCCGCGUGAGUGAUGAAGGUCUUCGGAUUGUAAAGCUCUGUUAAUCGGGACGAAAGAGUUCUGCGUGAAUAAUGCAGAAAAGUGACGGUACCGGAAUAGAAAGCCACGGCUAACUACGUGCCAGCCGCCGCGGUAA